Molecule: transfer RNA, 64 nt
Filed under: Ptilodactylidae sp. 2 ACP-2013
Lineage: Eukaryota; Metazoa; Arthropoda; Insecta; Coleoptera; Ptilodactylidae
Description: tRNA-His
Source: RNAcentral
UUUAAAUAGUUUAUAUAAAAUACUGAUUUGUGGGGUCAGGGAUACAUUAAUAUGUUUUAGAUAA